CCUCCAACCCUACGGGACCAUUCAGAAGACGUCACGACAAGGCUAUACCUACUUUAUUCUAUGUAUAAAAAUGAAUGUAACCUCUGUAUAAGUUCUCUUUUUCACCUGACCCCUCAUCGGGUUAUAUGAACUAGAUCCGUGCACGAUGUAGAACAAGAUAUCUUUGACCAAUAAACGGCCUUUUUGAUACACCUGAUUCCACUCUGUCCAGCGUCGUUGAUCUGCAUUCCCUCUCCAGUAUGAAACACUAACAAAACUACUUCGGGCAAAUAUAAAACAGUGAGCUCGAGAGAAUUCGGUCUGGUAGUAACCAGGCUAUUACUGAUGAACUCCGGUGGAUCCUCGAUCGAGGGAACUCCCGCUUCAUACCUGAACUGAAGACCUGCUGGAGGACCAGACACAGAUUUAUGGAGUGCUCAAAAAGGUGUUGAAUCCACCGCUGCUGGACAAAGUGAAGCACUCAAUUGCCGUGAUGAAGGUUUUACCAGACAUGUUCCCAUCACCUGUGGCUUUACCAAAGAAGUUAGGACACGCAAGUGAGGCUAUGCUUCACAUCCUCGAGUCUGCAGAACACCUUUCUUCACGCGAGACCACUCUUCAGCCCUGUCGUGAUUGUCUGCGAAACCAACUUCGUACUGGCCAUUGGAACCAAGCCUGUGGUGACCUUCCCAAAAGAGAACAUCUAUGCCAGCGUGACGUAUCUCAAAACAGAAGUCCUCUCAGGCGUCAUUCACGACCGGGACAGGACUUCUUCAUAGAAAAAGGCUAUGGCCGAGUGGAAAAAGUUCAUUACUGACUCGGGUUGUACAGUACAAUUUUGACAUUUCCGGUCCCGAUAACAGAGCCUUGUGUAUUGGCCCAUCCGAGAACCGAUCCGAUAACCUUUAAUAAGUAGGCAGGGUGUUUGUUGUUUAUUGUAAGAAGGUUUAAAACACUGUUAUGUUUGUUAUCUCCCCAUUGGUCUUACAUUUUCACCUUGACCACCAAUGGCCUUUGUUGUGGUUUAUGCAUCCUUUGUUCUGCCAGUAUCAGCCUCUGGAUAUACUGAGUCCUCA
This is a long non-coding RNA of Oncorhynchus gorbuscha (pink salmon), 1055 nucleotides long. RefSeq lists it as uncharacterized. The record is from RefSeq and is a predicted model, not a curated record. The transcript is spliced from 4 exons. NCBI's taxonomy places the organism in Eukaryota, Metazoa, Chordata, Actinopteri, Salmoniformes, Salmonidae.